CACAAAUAUUGUGUUUUAACAAUUCAAAUUUUCUUUCUGGCAAUGAUUUGCUAGCAAUGUGAGUCAGCUUCCUUAAGGUCCACUUUUCCUUUCUGGAAUUUAAACUGAAACUGAAAGUUGGCAACAGUGUCUUCCUCUCCAGGCCAAUCCCUGCAGUGGGAUGUGGGUCUCCUUGAUGACGGCCCCUCUGUCCACACCAAAACCCUUGCCGACCAUUGCAAAAGGCUGAGAGUUUUGAAUUCUCUGUCCCUAAGAAAGAAAGGAAAACAGGGAGAUCUUCACGAUUAUAAACUGAACCCUGGAACACCCCUCCUGUCCUUCCCCGAACAGGCCUGUGCCCCCUGCUCAUUCUCCAGGUGCACCCCAAAUCAAGAAAGCUCAAAUUCCAGUGAUGAGACUGGGUGCUUCCACUUGGAAGCUGAGAGACAUCUUCUGUCUUCUGCUUCCCUGCAAGUCUUGGGCCUCCAAUUAGUGGAGAGGGAAAGUGUCGCAGACGUGGGUGUGGCAGGAGCCCAGGUGGAGCCUCUGGUGGAGCGGAGGAGAGAGAUGAUGCUGCCUUUCCCAAGAACAAGCUCACAGUGCUGCCCAAAAGGCUCCUGGAGAGGUGACUUUGCCCAACAGGCCCCAAGUUGCUUACUUUCUCAGUCCUCAGGUUUUCACAGGGAAGAGACCCGCCACCCUCACUGCCCCCACCUCACCCAGGAGGACUGAGACUUCAUUUGCUCUUCUCCUCCUUCGCUGGGUCCAUUCCACAGUGCUAGUCUGAGAGGUGUGGUGUUGGGGGAAGACAUAAAGGAGGUGUUUAGCCUUCUGAGGUGUGGUAGGGUAGGGGUGUUGAUAAAGCCAGAGCCCCUCCUGUAAGGUAGGACUGGGUUCAGGGGACACUGACUUGGAUUGUAAUGCCUGAGGCCUCAGGGAAGGGCUCUGAUCUCAGGCAAGACAGGGCUGGGCUCGGGGAGGAGCUGGAUCCCUGAAUUUUUGUGAGGAGAUGUUUAUUUCAUGAAUGUGUGUGUAUGAGGUCCCUCUGUAUCCCCGCCAAUACUCUGGGCCUGUCUCUGUGACUCACUCAUAGUAGAAGGGGAGGGUGUGGUUGGUGGGGUUUGGUUGAGCUUACCGUGCCCCCAGGGGAUGAGAGAGGCACUCUUGGGGAACCCCCAGUAGGCGGGGUGCUGGUCUCUCUCUACCUCCUGCAUCUGCCUGGUGGUGCCUCCUCUGGAUCCCCAGCAUCUCCUCGUUUCUUCAGGCCUCCCCCUUCUCCCUUGAGCCCUUAUGUCCCAUGUGAUAUUUUAGCUAGUUCCCAUCCCAUCCAAGGAGGCUGCUAUCUGGCUCUGGCUGGGAAAUAAACAUGUGCUUUUGCUACCAACAUCAGAAUUGUGUUGUUUGUCUCAAAAGAGCACCAUACUGGGGCAGCAGGUGAAGCACAGGAAGUUCUGGAAAACAUCAACUGUCACACUCAUCUCCAGGGAGAAUAUCCUUAUAGGAACCCUGUGGAGAGGCCAGUGUGCAUCUGUGAGAGGCAGGUGGGAAAUUCACAGGAUCUGAGUCAGGAGAGGAGGGUGACUACUCA
This 1567-nucleotide long non-coding RNA is filed under the name Homo sapiens (human). RNAcentral describes it as "HSALNT0311325". Lineage: Eukaryota; Metazoa; Chordata; Mammalia; Primates; Hominidae. The record is from RNAcentral.